Molecule: non-coding RNA, 73 nt
Organism: Mustela putorius furo (domestic ferret)
Lineage: Eukaryota; Metazoa; Chordata; Mammalia; Carnivora; Mustelidae
Source: Rfam
ACCUGGCUGGCUCAGGCGGUAGAGCAUGUAACUCUUGAUCUCAGGGUCAUGAGUUCAAGCCCCAUGUUGGGUA